This 469-nucleotide long non-coding RNA is filed under the name Homo sapiens (human). RNAcentral's name for it is "HSALNT0060997". Lineage: Eukaryota; Metazoa; Chordata; Mammalia; Primates; Hominidae. The record is from RNAcentral.
AGAUUUAACAUGGACCCUGGAUCUUUGAUGGGGAAAAAUAAACUCCCUUCCUUUGUGAUUCAUUUUGGAAAAAAAAGAGAAGAGGAACUAUAUAAUAAAAUUUACUCUUGGAGAUUCUGGGAGCAACAGGACAGAAAUCUUGCAGUCGUGUGCCCCACAACGACAUUUUGGUCAACAAUGGACUGCAUAUACCAUGUGGCCCCAUAAGAUUAUAAUAGAGCUGAAAAAUUCCUGCUGCCUAGUGACAUUGUCGCUGUUGUGAUGAUGUUGUAGCUAUUGUAGUAGCACAAUGCAUUACUCACGUGUUUGUGGUGUUCCUGUUGUAAAUAAGUCGACUAUGCUGCCAGUUGUAUAAACGUCUAGCACAUGUAAUUCUGUAUAGUACACAAUACUUGGUAAUGAUAAUAAACGACUAUGUUACUGGUUUAUAUAUUUGUUGUACUAUUUAUCAUUACUUUAGAGUGUAUUC